AACGAACGCUGGCGGCAUGCCUAACACAUGCAAGUCGAACGAGACCUUCGGGUCUAGUGGCGCACGGGUGCGUAACGCGUGGGAACCUGCCCUUAGGUUCGGAAUAACUCCCCGAAAGGGGUGCUAAUACCGGAUAAUGUCUUCGGACCAAAGAUUUAUCGCCUUUGGAUGGGCCCGCGUUGGAUUAGCUAGUUGGUAGGGUAAAAGCCUACCAAGGCGACGAUCCAUAGCUGGUCUGAGAGGAUGAUCAGCCACACUGGGACUGAGACACGGCCCAGACUCCUACGGGAGGCAGCAGUGGGGAAUAUUGGGCAAUGGGCGAAAGCCUGAUCCAGCAAUGCCGCGUGAGUGAUGAAGGCCUUAGGGUUGUGAAGCUCUUUUACCCGGGAUGAUAAUGACAGUACCGGGAGAAUAAGCUCCGGCUAACUCCGUG
This 433-nucleotide ribosomal RNA is filed under the name uncultured bacterium. Its description in RNAcentral is "partial 16S ribosomal RNA". It matches the Rfam family "Bacterial small subunit ribosomal RNA", at positions 29 to 507 of the family's 1533-position model. The record is from RNAcentral.